This 99-nucleotide ribosomal RNA is filed under the name uncultured bacterium. RNAcentral describes it as "partial 16S ribosomal RNA". It matches the Rfam family "Bacterial small subunit ribosomal RNA", at positions 1386 to 1482 of the family's 1533-position model. The record is from RNAcentral.
CACACCGCCCGUCACACCAUGGGAGUUGGAUUGACCCGAAGGUGGUGAGCUAACCCGCAAGGGAGGCAGCCAACCACGGUCGGCUCAGCGACUGGGGUG